This 180-nucleotide unclassified non-coding RNA is filed under the name uncultured Ciliciopodium. Its description in RNAcentral is "sequence contains ITS1". Lineage: Eukaryota; Fungi; Ascomycota; Sordariomycetes; Hypocreales. The record is from RNAcentral.
UCGUAUCUCUGGUGGCGUGGGUGGUGAGGCAACUCCCACUCUAGGUCGUAGCUAUAACCCGUGUUUAUUACCUUUGUUGCUUUGGCGAGCCGCCUCCGGGCGCAGCCUCGGCUGAUCGUGCUCGCCAGAGAACCCAAACUCUUUUGUUUACAGUAUUGUCUGAGUACUAUAUAAUAGUUA